This 445-nucleotide long non-coding RNA is filed under the name Numida meleagris (helmeted guineafowl). RNAcentral's name for it is "lncRNA (ENSNMEG00000016196.1)". The record is from RNAcentral. Lineage: Eukaryota; Metazoa; Chordata; Aves; Galliformes; Numididae.
UUCUAUCAAACAGUGAGGUAACGUUGCUUUUUUUUUUUUUUUCUUCUGCAGGACCUUGCCAGGCCAAGAAUUGAGAAAAACAUCUGCAUUUUCUUUUGAGUUGGGCGUGUCCUUUUCAUGUUCCUCCACAUGAGCAGAAGAAAGAGAGAGUUCUAUGGCCCAGAUCCUCAGUGAGGAGACAGCAUGAUAGGGGUCAAUGAGUUGUUAGUGGUAUGCAACCUUCAGCAGGAAGAAUAAUUGCUGGCAACCUGAGUUUUCUCACGACACAGGAGCUUGAUCACACAACUAAUUUAUUUAAUCAAGGAAAGUUCAGAAAGAUAGAACUACUGAAUUUUGAAUAUAUGGGCAUUAGACAAGAUUGCACAAGGAUGCAUAAAACUUGAGAUAUCUGCAGUGAAAUGGCAGUGACAAUAAAAUUAUGCCACAAGACUUUUGUGUGUUAGCC